AAUGGGCGCAAGCCUGAUCCAGCCAUGCCGCGUGAGUGAUGAAGGCCCUAGGGUCGUAAAGCUCUUUCGCCCGUGAAGAUAAUGACGGUAGCAGGUAAAGAAACCCCGGCUAACUCCGUGCCAGCAGCCGCGGUAAUACGGAGGGGGUUAGCGUUGUUCGGAAUUACUGGGCGUAAAGCGCGCGUAGGCGGAUUAGUCAGUCAGAGGUGAAAUCCCAGGGCUCAACCCUGGAACUGCCUUUGAUACUGCUAGUCUUGAGUUCGAGAGAGGUAAGUGGAAUUCCGAGUGUAGAGGUGAAAUUCGUAGAUAUUCGGAGGAACACCAGUGGCGAAGGCGGCUUACUGGCUCGAUACUGACGCUGAGGUGCGAAAGUGUGGGGAGCAAACAGGAUU
RNAcentral lists this ribosomal RNA (392 nucleotides) under uncultured Gammaproteobacteria bacterium. Its description in RNAcentral is "bacterial SSU rRNA". It matches the Rfam family "Bacterial small subunit ribosomal RNA", at positions 370 to 779 of the family's 1533-position model. The record is from RNAcentral. Lineage: Bacteria; Pseudomonadati; Pseudomonadota; Gammaproteobacteria.